CAUCCGGUUGAUAUUCCGGAACCACCUGAGAUCGUUUGCACCGCAAGGUGUCGCCUGGGGGUAGGAGAACGGAGGUUGGCCGGCGAAAGCCGGUCGAGUCCCGGAUCCGAGCCCAGGUGAGAGCAAGGGCAUGACACGGUGUGGUAGUUCGAGCGCGUUUUGGCUAUACGCGUCUAAGCCGGUAGGGGGAGAGGACAGGCAAAUCCGUCCUCUCAUUCAACCCCGAGCAGCGAAUGAAAGGGGCGCAUGCCUCGAUUCGAGCGAGCCACGCUGGCAAGAAAAGUGUCUAGCGAGAUCAAUGGUGUCCGUACCGCAAUCCGACACAGGUAGGCGGGUAGAGAAUACCAAGGCGAUCGGGAGAACCCUCGUUAAGGAACUCGGCAACAUGGCCCCGUAACUUCGGGAUAAGGGGCGCUUCGCGGCUGCUGCUUGCAGUGGGCGAUCGAAGCCGCAGUGAAAAGGCCCAGGCGACUGUUUAGCAAAAACACAGGUCUCUGCGAAAGCGAAAGCUGACGUAUAGGGGCUGACGCCUGCCCAGUGCCGGAAGGUUAAGGGGAGAGGUCAGGAGGGAUCCGACGCUUUGAACCGAAGCCCCGGUGAACGGCGGCCGUAACUAUAACGGUCCUAAGGUAGCGAAAUUCCUUGUCGGGUAAGUUCCGACCCGCACGAAAGGUGUAACGAUCUGGGCGCUGUCUCAACGAGGGACUCGGUGAAAUUGAAUUAGGGGUGAAGAUGCCCUUUACCCGCGACCGGACUAAAAGACCCCGUGGAGCUUUACUACAUCUUGGCACUGGACUUGAGCCGAGCAUGUGUAGGAUAGGUGGGAGGCUAUGAAGCCGGAGCGCCAGCUUCGGUGGAGCCAACGGUGAAAUACCACUCUUGUUUGGUUUUGGUUCUAACUUGCCUUCGGGCGAGGACAGUGCCAGGUGGGUAGUUUGACUGGGGCGGUCGCCUCCUAAAAGGUAACGGAGGCUCCCAAAGGUUCCCUCAGCACGGAUGGAAAUCGUGCUUUGAGUGUAUUGGCAUAAGGAGGCUUGACUGUAAGACUCACAAGUCGAGCAGGGACGAAAGUCGGGCA
This 1078-nucleotide ribosomal RNA is filed under the name subsurface metagenome. Its description in RNAcentral is "bacterial LSU rRNA". It matches the Rfam family "Bacterial large subunit ribosomal RNA", at positions 1314 to 2412 of the family's 2925-position model. The record is from RNAcentral.